AUACGGAGGAUGCGAGCGUUAUCCGGAUUUAUUGGGUUUAAAGGGUGCGUAGGCUGUGCGUUAAGUCAGGGGUGAAAUGCCGUCGCUCAACGACGGAGCUGCCCUUGAUACUGGCGUGCUGGAGUACGGAUGCCGUUGGAGGAAUGAGUGGUGUAGCGGUGAAAUGCUUAGAUAUCACUCAGAACACCGAUUGCGAAGGCAUCUGACGAAUCCGUCAUUGACGCUGAGGCACGAAAGCGUGGGGAUAGAACAGGAUUAGAUACCCUGGUAUUCCACGCCGUAAACGAUGAUGACUAACCGUCGGCGAUAGACAGCCGGUGGCCAAGCGAAAGCGAUAAGUCAUCCACCUGGGGAGUACGUCGGCAACGAUGAAACUCAAAGGAAUUGACGGGG
Molecule: ribosomal RNA, 393 nt
Filed under: uncultured bacterium
Lineage: Bacteria
Description: partial 16S ribosomal RNA
Rfam family: Bacterial small subunit ribosomal RNA
Source: RNAcentral